CAGGUAGUGACAGAAGAAAAUGCCACAUAAAAAGUUAACAAUGUGCAUUUUUGUGUUACAAUUAUGAUUGCUUAUUUUUCUUCUUAAUUUCUUAAUUUAUUUCAGAUUGUGUGUUAGUUUUUUAAAUGACAUUUUAUUAUUUAAUUCUAGAAAUUAGAGAUUGUAAAUAAUUUUUUUAGAUUUUAUUGUUUCAAAAAAGUAGACAAGGAGUCAUACAUUUUCUGGGAAAAUAACAAUUUAGAAAAAUGUUGACAAUCUAUCUAAUCCUAGGGGAAUCUUUGCAAGUGAUUGUUGUUUUGAGAGUGGCUCUUUACUGAUAUUCACCUAAAAUAAAAUACUUUGAAACAGUAUCUCCAUCCAAGAAAAAAGCUUACAAAAAUAAACAGUUGAGUUAUCUUGGAAACAAGAAACACUUUUAAAAAGAUAAUUACAUUUUAUAAUAAAUUACUUUAAUAAUCCAAAUGGAAUCAUCCUCCUUAAAAAUGUUUUGUUAGUAGUAAUUAUUAAAAUCAUAAAUCAUUUUGUAAAAUUUGUACUUUUGGUACAAAAUGAGAAAGUAUUUAAAAAUUUAUUUCAAAAAAUUUAGCAAUAGUUUGUUAAAUUCAGAUAGUAUAUUUUUUCAUGCGCGUCCGUGUGAAGAGACCACCAAACAGGCUUUGUGUGAGCAAUAAAGCUGUUUAUUUCACCUGGGUGCAGGUGGGCUGAGUCUGAAAAGAGAGUCAGCAAAGGGUGGUGGAUCAUCAUUAGUUCUUAUAGGUUUUAGGAUAGGUGGUGAAGUUAAGAGCAAUGUUUUGCAGGCAGGGGUGGAUCUCACAAAGUACAUUCUCAAGGGUGGGGAGAAUUACAAAGUACCUUCUUAAGGGUGGGGGAGAUUACAAAGUACAUUGAUCAGUUAGGGUGGGGCAGGAACAAAUCACAGUGGUGGAAUGUCAUCAGUUAAGGCUAUUUUUACUUCUUUUGUGGAUCUUCAGUUACUUCAGACCAUCUGGAUGUAUACAUGCAAGUCACAGGAGAUGCGAUGGCUUGGCUUGGGCUCAGAGGCCUGACAUUCCUGCCUUCUUAUAUUAAUAAGAAAAAUAAAACAAAAUAGUGUUGAAGUGUUGGGGCGGCGAAAAUUUUGGGGGGUGGUAUGGAGAGAGAAUGGGCGAUGUUUCUCAGGGCUGCUUCAAGCGGGAUUAGGGGCGGUGUGGGAACCUAGAGUGGGAGAGAUUAAGCUGAAGGGAGAUCUUGUGGUAAGUGGUGAUAUUGUGGGGACGUUAGAAGAAACAUUUGUCAUAUAGAAUGAUCGGUGAUGGCCUGGAUAUGGUUUUGGAUGAAUUGAGAAACUAAAUGGAAGAUACAAGGUCUGAAAAAAAGAAGGAGAAAAAUGGGUAUUAAAGGACUAAGAAUUGGAAGGACCCAGGACAUCCAAUUAGAGAGUGGCCAAGGGGGUUCAGCAUAAUUACUUGCUUGGUUGGCAAGAUUUUGGGCUUUAUCCUUGAGUUUUUUUAUGUUGUCAUACACCAGGCCAGAUUGAUUUAGGUAAAAAUAAGACUCUUCAUUUAAGAAUAUACAGAGUCCUCCUUUUUCAGCAGUGAGUAAGUCAAGGCCUUGGCGGUUUUGGAGGACAACUGCAGCUGAAGAGUCAACUUGGGCCUGGAGGCCUGAUAAAGUUUGUGAUAUGUCUGUAAUGCUAGCAGAGAAGUCAUUAGACAGGAUACGGAAGGUCGUGACAGAGGUUGAAAUGCCUGCUAUUCCAGUACCGAGAGCAACAGUGGAGGCAGAAAGUCCUAAACCAACCAUCAAGGGAAUUAGUGGAAUAACUCUUUUUUGUCGUGUCGGUGUCAUGAGGGGAACAGGGAGCUCUUCAGUCCCAUUUGCAAAUUGAAUUUUGGAGGUAAGGAAAACUAGUGUGCAUGUGCCUGUCCAAUUAGCAGGUAGACACAUGUAGGUAGAGGAUCCACAGAGGAAGAAGAGACUUUGUACUAGGCAAAACUGGAGAUGUAAAGUAAAAAGGUGAGAAGGAGUGCUGAAAGGGGUGUCUUGUACCCAGACUCUUAGGGAUCCACCUAGGGGGGCAGCAGUCAGAGGUUGUAAUGGGGACUGAUGGGGUAACUGCGUAGAGGGGGAGGUUCGAUUUUCAUGGUAUAUGAGAAAACGUUGAGCAUCUACGAGCAAACUUUCACUGUUAUUUUUGGGGCUGGGUAUAAGUAAACAAGAAGAGGGUCUGGGAGGAGAGUCUGAUGAGCAAGGGGAAAAUAGCCAAGGAUGGAGUGAAAUACAGGACAAGUGUCUUCCUAAGCAAUAAUUACUGCUAACGUUUUUAAGUUUGUCAGUAUUGAUAGAGGGCUUGUCUGUAAUAUGGAGCUGGAAGGCUCCAUUUGUUUCAGUGAUGUGUGUAGUUGGGCUUCGGAGAUGAAGAGUAAAGGAACAUCGAGAAGGUGAAAGAUUACCUAGGGGAAUUCCAGUGGGUCUUUGCCGAGAGAUACAUAAAGGAGCGGCCACAGGAAUAGUAGUUUGUGUUGUGAGCGGUCCAAAUGUGGGGGGAGUAGAGUUAAUAUAAGGAGAAAGGUUUUUUAAAUAAGUGCAGAGGAGGGCGGCAGCUUGCUGAUGUGAAAUGUCUGGGGAAGUCUUGCUGGACCUGUCUAGAAAGUAAAUGAGUUUUUCAGGAGGGUAAAGGUGAGGGCUGUUAAAGGAAGUUCGGAGGUGUGGGGAGACAGGAGAUGUUGCCCAGUCUGUCUGUAAGGCAGGGACAGCUGGGUAGGCACUGGAAGGAAGGGAAAUGCAAAGCCAGCAGUUUUUCACUAAGGAGGGAUUAGAAACGGCUAGGAGAGAAUGGGUAAGGUUGAUAGUGUGGUGGAGAUAGCUGGGGAGAGGUAAAGGGUGGCAUAAGAUUGGGAAUGAGAAUAAGAGUGAGUAUAAAAGUAAAGAAUAGAACUUCAUCAGGGUGGAAGUAUUGGAGGAUGCCCUGCCAGCAAAGAUCAUCUAUCCACUCUAAGAGGGAGUUAAGAGUGGCAGUUUCGGGAUAGCACCAAGAGAUAUCAGCUGUGAUGGCUUGAAGAAACAGUGUAAACUGGUGGUGUAAACAAGAGUAGGGCAUUUAUAAGUAGUUGAUAAUGGAGAAUAGGAGUAUGACCAGACAGAAGAUAGUAGGGAUGACUCGUUUUUGGGGGCACAGUCUAAGUUAGUCUGCUCUCUGGAAUGAGACUGGGGCCUAAUAAAAAGGAGCAUCUAUACAGGAGCUCAAAUGGGCUGUACCCUGUAGCAUUCUGAGGACAGGUCUGACUUCUGAGAAAGGAAAGUGGUAAAAGUAUUGUCUAGUCCUUUUUAAGUUGGUGGCUGAGCUUGGUGAGGUGUGUUUUUAAAAGACCGUUAGUCUGUUCUACUUUUCCUGAAGACUGAGGACUGUAAGGGAUAUAAAGGUUUCACUAAAUAUUAAGAGCCUGAAAAACUGCUUGGCUGAUUUGACUAAUAAAGGCUGGUCAGUUAUCAGACUGUAUAGAGGUGGGAAGGCUAAACUGAGGGAUUAUGUCUGACAGAAGGGAAGAAAUGACUGUGGUGGCCUUCUCAGACCCUGUAGGAAAGGCCUCUACCUAUCCAGUGAAAGUGUCUACCUAGACUAAGAGGUAUUUUAGUUAUCUGACUCGGGGCAUGUUGAGUAAAGCUAAUUUGCCAGUCCUGGGUGGGGGCAAAUUCUUGAGCUUGAUGUGUAGGGAAGGGAGGGGGGCCUGAAUAAUCCUUGAGGAGUAGUAGAAUAGCAGAUGGAACACUGAGAAGUUAUUUCCUUGAGGAUAGAUUUCCACGAUGGAAAGGAAAUGAGAGGUUUUAAGAGGCGGGCUAGUGAUCUGUACUAUAGCAUAGCCUGCCUUUGCUGGUGUGUGGUGAUUAGGCCUGGUGGAACCGCCAUUAAUAAAUCAAGCAUGAUCAGGGUGAGGAACAGGAAAGAAGGAAAUAUGGGGAAAUGAGGUGAAUGUCAGGUGGAUCAGAGAGAUACAGUCAUGAGGGUCAGGUGUGGUUUCCAGAAUAAUGUGGGAGACCGGAUUGAAGUCCCGGUCAGGAACAAUGGUAAUUGUGGGACUUAACAAAGAGUGAGUACAGCUGAAGGAGCCGGGGAGCAGAAAGUAUAUGCAUCAGGUAUGAGGAAGAAAAUAGAUUUUGGAAGUUAUGAGAAAUGUAGAGAGUAAGUUGAGCAUAGUUUGUGAUUUUGAGGGCCUCUAAAAGUAUUAGGGUGGCAGCAGCCGCUGCAGGGAGACAUGAUGGCUAGGCUAAAACAGUAAGGUCAAGUUGUUUGGACAGAAAGGCUAUAGGGUGUGGUCCUGGCUCUUUUGUAAGAAUUCUGACUGCACUAUGCCUAGGAAGGGAAGGAGUUGUUGUUUUGUAAGGGAUUGAGGUUUGGGAGAUUAAUCGGACACAAUCAGCAGGGAAAGCACAUGUGUUUUUAUGAGAAUUGUGCCGAGAUAGGUAACAGAUGAGGAUGAAAUUUGAGCUUGACUGAAGUAAUGGGGGCUGUCUAUGAAGACUUGCGGCAGUACAGCCCAGUUACCCGAAACUCGGCGUCCUUGAUGGUCUACGGGGGUUCCGAGGUGAUCGAGCAGCAUCAGUCUUCAGCCGCUAAACCGAGAAGGAGUCCGUCAGAGAGCCUUGGGCCAGAGUUCCAGAGGCUCUGGGAGUAGCUUCCAGAUCUCUAGAACUUUUUCAUCGAGCAUUAUCAAAACUUGACACCCUCUGAAGAACUGCCGUUUUCCCUAAGCUCCAGGCAGCCAUUCAUCUUUGGAAAGGUCCCUGCUUCCUCUGAGUCUUCUACAGAUACAGCAAGAACCCAUUGGACGAGGUGACCCAUGGCUUUCUCCUAUAACUGGAGUAUCUUCUGGCCAGGCCCAUGGAGGAAUACUCCCUAAUAACCAAAUUCUGAGGCAUUCAUUCAUUAUCUUUAAAGCAGUGCUUCCCAAACUGUAACAUGUGACUUCACAACUCUUCAUAUCAAAAGAUGGAGUUCAUUUCCAACCUCUUUUAAUUCAGACUGGCCUUGGGACUUCUUUUGAGCAACAAAAUAUGGCAGGAAUAAUGUUGUGAUCUCUGAGCUGGAAUGGAGAUGAUUCCCAAAAAACCUUAGAAGGCAUUACUGAAGAUAGAAAAACCUCCCAGAGCCUGAUUUCUGAAUGAUUGUCCAUUUGGCAUAGUCACCAGGUGUGGAUGAAACGAGGCUUCACCCCUGAGUCUGCAACCUUAGACAAGUUUCUCCACAAUGCUACUCUGAGAUCAAGAUCUCAACUGUACAUCCUGGAGACAACACAACAACACAAGGGAAUAAAAUCUUAUACAACUGUCAGAGGUAUUGUGGAGUUCAAAUUAGAUGAUAUACAAUGACACCAAGGAAAAUACAUUGUGAAAUUUGACGAGAUUCUGAACUCAAAAAGAGAUGCUGCUCUAUUCAUUUCAAAACAACUCAUAAUAAAAGUGUUCCGCCGGGCGCGGUCGCUUAUGCCUGUAAUUCCAACACUUUGGGAGGCCGAGGCGGGCGGAUCACGAGGUCAGGAGACCGAGACCAUCCUGGCUAACGCGGUAAAACCCCGUCUCUACUAAAAAAAUACAAAAAAAUUAGUGGGGCGUGGUGGCAGGAGCCUGUAGUCCCAGCUGAGGCUGAGGCAGGAGAAUGGCGUGAACCCGGGAGGCGGAGCUUGCAGUGAGCCGAGAUCGCGCCACUGCACUCCAGCCUGGUCGACAGGGCGAGACUCCGUCUCAAAAAAAAAAAAAAAAAAAAAAAACAGUUUUCCAACUUAGCGUUUCCGGCAUUAACUAAUCACACCUCAAUCUCACUUUUAUUUUUGCUCUUCUUGUUUUUUUCAACUGGCACCUGGAGCAGGUCAGUCACAUUCCUCAUUUUUCAGGGACACCUUCGAUGCCAGAUUCUUUUUGCCUUCCGGUAAGAUUUUUUUUUUAGUAUCUUGGCCAUUUAGGGGGAGGGAGGAUAAGAAAUAAAGGGACAGUAUUAGAGCGUUAAUAAAUUGUUUUUUGUAAAUACGUUUUAGGAUGUUCACAUGUAGUGCUUCUUCAAGAUUUCUAAAAGUAUCUACGUUAUGGCUUCACUCUAUCAUUGUAAGCCUUACUAGGAUUCCUGAAUUUUGACAUAUAUUUAUUUUUUCUUCUGACUCAAGCUUUGAAUGACAAGAAUACUGUCAUGUUUUCUAUAUUUUCCACAAGAUAGAUAGAAUAAAAUACCCAUCAACUCUCUUUACACAUAGACUUUUUAAUAAAUUGUUUAAACUAUUCACAUCUCCAAUGGCUAAUUUGGGAUGAUACAGAAAUGCACAUGUUUUUAAAUAUAUAUCAAGAGCAUAUUAAACAAUUCCACAGCACAGAUGAAUAAUAUUGUUACCAGUGAAAUUCAUGCUGUAUCCUAAAACAAAUAGCCAAUAUUUGACAUAAUAAAGCAAAUAUCCUUUUACCUUUACUAUCAGUUUGGGGGCUGUUAAAUUAUUGGGGAAGUGGCAGGUAAAAUUUUCUUUUUAUCUUUUCUGAAAAUAAAAUAAUUUGGUAAUGUUCCAGGUCAGUAUACAAAGAGUUUUCUAAUUUAUGUAUAAAUUUUUAAAAUAAAGUAUAAUAGAGCAAAAAGCUCACUAGCAUUUAGAACUGUCCUGAUAACAGAAUGACAGGGCCUGGGCUUGAAUUUUGUGUAAAAAGAUUGUAGGUGCCAAAUCAUCUCCAUUUCUCAUAUCAUGAUUAAUUCUCCAGAGAAUUAUAGCAGGUACACAAAUUAGAAGAGCUCUUUGAAUCUUACUUUCAAAUUUGAAAAAGAAAAUGUGUAUUGUUUUGCAACAUAGCUUUUGAAUUAAUGUUUUUAAUUUAUAUUAUUAUUCUGACCUAAUAUUUAGGUAUUAUAUAUUUGAAAUAAAAAGAGAGGCCACCAUCAUAUUAAGCAUGACAUGAAGUACCUGGCAUAUUCUGAGUUAUGUGUACAGGUAAUUAGUUCUAACUCAAGGUAAUGUUCUCAUAAAUAGGGAACAAAUAUUACCAAAUUCAUUAAUUAGUCAUGCUUAUACUUCUGUCAUUUGGAAUAAUGUGUUUGCUUGAACUAAGGUUUCCUAUUUAUUAGAGUCAUUAAUGACUGUCAGUAAGAUACAGUGCUCUAACAUUUCACCAAUAUUUGAGAAACGCACAGGUAUUGCAUUUUUUUAACAGGGGACUAGUCUCAUUUUAUAUCUGUAUGGAAUGACAACCACAGUAUUAAAUUCCCUUGGCCUAUUUCUGCUACUUUCCUUUAUUUCAUUCAUCCUACUGUUUCCUUUAUUUCAUUCAUCCUCUACCAUUUUUAUUCUUAUAACACGUAUAUCAUUGUAUCAUAAUUACUUGUUUGCAUUUCUGCCUUCCUCCACUAAAGCACAUGAAUCAUUCUGCUUCUCAUAAGCAUCCUCAUUUAUUGUUUAAUGAAUUUAAACAUUCACUUAUACACAUAUAUUUCAAUAAAACUUUCAAAUAAACUAUUUUAACUAAAUUAAAAUAUUUUAGCUGUUAAUAUACGUAUGCAAUCAUUCUUCUGUGAAUAUAUGCAACAUACAUUACUUUGCAUUAUAUAUCUAAACACAAACACAAGGACUAUUGUAUUAGUCCUUUUUCAUGCUACUGAUAUAGACAUACCCAAGACUGGGUAAUUUAUAAAGAAAAAGAGGUUUAAAGGAAUCACAGUUCCAUGUGGCUGGGGAGGCCUCACAAUCAUGUUGGAAGGUGAAAGGCACAUCUUACAUGGCAGCAGCCAAGAGAGAAUGAAAGCCAACUGAAAAGGGAACAAGAAUAAAAAUAUAUAUCCAUGCUAAUGGGAGGUUGCUUAUAAGACAAUGUCUGACAUAUAUGAUUUAUUACAAGUUAUUGAUUCCAAUAUUUUUAAAAAUCUACCACAACACAUUAUCAACAAAAUAAAAUCACACAAAAUCCUGUUAAAUAUUUUGUUAUGAUAUUUUAUGCAACUUUUUAAAGCAUAUAUUAUUUCACCUAACUAAAAUGUAUAUGAAUAAUAUUUCUACAUUUUCAUAAUGAACUAAGGCAGCAUUUCCCAAAGAGUGUUUCAGAAAAUACGUCUUUAGAGAUGUUCUUUUUUUUUUUAUUAUACUUUAAGUUUUAGGGUACAUAAAAAUGAAUUAAUGUUAUAUAGAUUAAAAAUAAGCAUAUGAAAAUGUUCUCAACAACAUAAGUCAUCAGGGAAUUGCAAAUUAAAACAACGAGAUACCACUACGUACAUAUUAGAAUGAAUAUAAUAAAAAAAAACUAAAUUCAAAUUGCUGACAAAGAUGCAGAACAAGAAUUCUCACUCAUGCUGGUGAGAAUAUAAAAUGGCACAGCCACUUUGGAAGACCACUUGGCUAUUUCAUACAAAAACAACACUUUUCCUAUACAACGUAGCGAUCAUGCUACUAGAUAUUCAUCCAGCCAAAUUGGGAAUGUAUGACCACAUAAAAACCUAUAUGUUAAUGUUUAUAGUGACUUUAUUCAUAGUCAGCAAAAAUGGGAAACAAUCAAAAUGUCUUUCCAUAGAUGAACAGGUAAACUUGACACAUUCAUAUAAUGGAAUAUUAUUCAGCAAUUUAAAAAAUGAGCUCUCAAGCCAUGAAAAGGCAU
RNAcentral lists this long non-coding RNA (8589 nucleotides) under Homo sapiens (human). RNAcentral describes it as "HSALNT0063717". Lineage: Eukaryota; Metazoa; Chordata; Mammalia; Primates; Hominidae. The record is from RNAcentral.